GGCAUCCGUAGAUGUUCAUCAACCACUGUUGCUAACAGGUGGGAUUCGGAAUGGUUUGUCCCGUCUAGAUAUCCCGUUGAACUGGGAUAGGCAGGACAAUUUACACAGAAGGUACUAAUAAAUCAUCCUCGUGAAUCGAGAUACAAGUAUUCAUGUAAGUGUAUACAGGUAAAUGUAUCUACGUAAAGGUACUCAUGUAAUGUAUUCAUGUAAGGUAUUCAUGUAAGGGUAUCCAUGUAAGCGUACUCAUGUAAGUGUAUUCAUGUAACAUGUAAUGUAUAGUAUAGACUCAUGAAUGAACUGACUCUGAUGUAAUUCCUUGUAAUAGGAAUAAUGUUUUGUAUCUUCUAACUAUCCCUAUAAUAGUUAACUGGAAGGUAAUUGGUUGUCCAAGCAGGUUUAUACACCCUUGCUACACAAGAGUGUGGGAAACUGAAUGAAGGAUGAAAACUAUAACAUCAAUACAUAUAUAAGAACAUAAGUGUAUAGAUAUAGUUUUGUUCAAGAAGGUAAAAAUGGUUUUGUAAGACAUCUAAGAGUUUUGAACAAUAAUUAACAAUGACUUGAUGUCAUUUUAAUAAACAUUUCAAAAGUAAUACAUUUGCUAACAAAGUAUUUUUAAGAUAGAAAACCAUUUCAUGCAUCACAUUUUGAAGUAUGUGAAAUCUGCUGGAUGAAAACACAGUUAUAAAUACAUAUGAAAGAUUUAAUAACAUGCUGUUUUCUACUUGUAUUCCCCCCCCUCUCUCCCCCCAUUAAAGCAUUUAAAAUCAUUUAAAACAUUGAUUAAGGGGUAUGAACUCACCUGAAGAUGGUGGUUUGGAUGAACUGAACGGUGAAGGAUUGUUAGGUGUCAAGUGAGGACUUGUACACACACUAUGAUCCUAAUGAACAUAUAAUCACACAUAUAUGCACCCAAUUAGUCUUAAACUACUAAUUGUAAAUGUUAAGAUAUCCUAGAACAUGAUAAACACUUUAUAUAAGUGUUAUAAGCCCUAAGGAUUGCAUCUAAGUUGUUGUGGGACAAGGCAAUUGGGUUUGGGUUCCAAAGGACCCUAUACAUGAGUUUACUCUCCAAUAAACCUCACACAAGGAGUUUACAGCCGUAAGCUCCUAAGCUUAAUGAUAUUUUGUGUUUUGAAGUGUUACAUGAUCCCUAGAAGCAAUUCUACUUGGAGGUUUAAUCCAUGGAAGAGUUUAGGGCACUAAUACACUCCUUUGAGGAGUUUACGGCCCCAAGGCCAUUUCCUUUUGAGUUUACUGCCGUAAACUCAUAUGGGAAGGGGUAUUUUUAUGUUUUCAAGUCUCAUGCUCAUCUAGGAUAGGUUCUAGACAUUUAUCUAAGGCUAAUGAAGGCCUUAGGCACACUUUGGUACCCUUGAUUGAUGUUCACGGCCCAAAGACCAUUUCCAUAAGAGAUGACAGCCGUAAUCUCCCUUUUGGGAUGGGUCUUUGAUGUUUUAAGGUGCUUAAUGCAACUAGGAGUAAAUCUAGGUGUUUUUCCAAGGCUUUAGGAGUGGUUAAAGCACUCUUUGGCCCUUGAGUUUUGAGUUCACGGUCCAAGAGCUUCUUGGGCCGUGAACACCUUUGUCUUGGUGUUUCAUGGGUGAUUUCUAGUCUUAUAAACACUAGCAUACAAGCCUAAGGUAGUUACAUAUCACAAGGGAAGGACUAGGCUUCAUUUUAAGAGUUUACUCCCUAAGGUGUUCUUGGGCGGUAAACUCUCGAAUCUAGUUGUUUUGAUAUGAAAUAUAUGUUAUUAAGCACAUUACUAUGUAUAUAUUACAACUAGAGAGAGGUACUCACGAUUUGGGAUGAAAACCCGAAGAUCCGUGAGAGAGAAAAUGACUUUUCUCUAGUUGAAAAUGCAAUUAAUGAAUGAAAAUGGCUCAGAUUUCUAUAUAUAGUCCUGGGAUUUUUGGCAGAAAAUAGUUUUUUAUUCCCGAAAUGAACUCUAAUGUAAUAGAGUUUUGGAAUAACAGAGUUGCACGAAACCCUAAUGCAUCCACUCUCCGGAUAUCUCCUUAAGUGUAAACCCUGAAAUACUCAAACUUAUAUGGAAAAGUCUGAAAAUUUACNAAUACUCAAAAUAUGGAAAAGUCUGAAAAUUUACUGCGACUGUUCUGACUUUUAUUGAAGUGAUAUUGUUUGUACAUAAUAAAAUUUCGGGUUGUCACAUCAUCCCCUCGUGAGAAGGAAUUUCAUCCCGAAAUUAGAAUUUAAGCAAAUAAGAAGUNNNNNNNNNNNNNNNNNNNNNNNNNNNNNNNNNNNNNNNNNNNNNNNNNNNNNNNNNNNNNNNNNNNNNNNNNNNNNNNNNNNNNNNNNNNNNNNNNNNNGCAUCAACUUUUGUUUGGAAAACGUUCUUUCCUCAUAUGCACCAUGGUCCUUACAAAGUGAUGAAUUAAGGUCAUUUCCUUACAAGAUGGUGACGUGGUUUAGGCGCAUACGAGACCAUGGAGUGCAUGGCUCCAUGCAUGGCUCAUGAAAAGGUAGCAUGCACUCCAUGGUCUCGUCCCAGAUCAACCUUAUAAGUAUUAUCAUUGACAUGUGUCACCACUUUGUAAGGACCUUCAGCUCUUGGCAUCAACUUUUGUUCUUCCUUUUGUUAGCAAAACGUUCUUUCCUCAUAUGCGCCUAAACCACGUCACCAUCUUGUAAGACACGUGGUUUCCUAUGCAUGUUGGAAUUCUGUUUGUACACGUCAUACACAGCUUCAAUCUUCACACAAACUUGUUGGUGUAGUUACAUCAUGGCCUUCAAAUUGUCAUUUGCAUCCUUGUGAACCAAUUCACCAUUUGGAAAUGGAAUGAAAUACAAAGGCUUGUAAGGAUUCACACCAUACACCACUUACGUAGGCUUAUAAGGACCUUCAGCUUUUGGCAUCAACUUUUGUUUGGAAAACGUUCUUUCCUCAUAUGCACCAACACCAAAUCACCAUCUUGAAAGACACGAGGUUUCCUAUACAUGUUGGAAUUCUGUUUGUACACGUCAAUCACGGCUUCAAUCUUCACACUAGCUUGUUGGUGUAGUUUCGUCAUGGCCUUCAACUUGUCAUUAGCAUCCUUGUGAACCAAUUCAUCGUUUGGAAAUGGAAUAAUAUACAAAGGCUCGUAAGGAUUCACACCAUACACCACUUACAAAGGCUUGUAUCAACCUUCAGCUCUUGGCAUCAACUCUUGUUCAAAGUGAACAAAGGUUAGUUUGAUUAAAAUUUCAUCUAUCUCUUUUUUCCAUGCAUAAUUGGCUUAUAUGAAGCCUUUAUAACAAAGUUGGUGGUUACUAGCCACCCAACCAACUACUCAGUAAAACUAAUAAUGGAAAUUAAAGAAACUCAUGAAACCACACAAAAAAACGUCUGACACACUAAUGAAUGAAAAAAGUGUCCAUGCUCCAUUAAGGAGCAAAAAGAAGCAUUAAAGUGUAAUCCAAAUCCACCAAAGAGUGCACAAGACAUGCAAAGUGGGUGGAGUUCUUGCAAUCCUUUCCUUUUUCAGGCAAAUACAAGGAUGGGAAAAGCAAUGUGGUGGCUGAUGCACUCUCGAGGCGUUAUUCAUUGUUGGUGACAUUGGGUGUUCGUUUCUUGGGAUUUGAAACUCUAAAGGACCAUUAUCAAUCUGAUAUGGACUUUGGAGAUAUGUUUUUGAAAUGUGUAGGUGGUCCUAAUAGUGAAUUUGUGAUUCAAGAUGGCUUUUUAUUCAAAGGUAAUCGCCUUUGUGUCCCAAAACAUGCAAUACAUUAGUUGUUGAUUCAUGAAGCUCAUGGUGGUGGUUUGGCUGGUCAUUUUGGCAUUACCAAAACUUUGGAGGUACUUAAGGAACAUUUCAUUUCGCGAAAUAUGUUAGGCGAUGUAACCAACAUAGUGGGUAAGUGUGUUACAUGUCACAUGGCAAAAACAAUAUUUAAGCAUGGUGUUUACACUCCUUUGCCAGUUCCUAUUUGUCCUUGGGAAGAUGUGUCCAUGGAUUUCUUUAUGGAUUUGCCUAGGACUCAAAGGGGGAAGGAUUCCAUAAUGGUGGUGGUGGAUAGGUUUUCAAAAAUGGCUCACUUUGUGCCAUGUCAUAAAACCAAUGAUGCAUCUAAUGUGGCUGAUUUGUACUUUAAAGAGGUGGUUCGUUUUCAUGGUAUUCCUAAAACAAUUGUUUCUGAUAGGUAUUCCAAGAUUCUAAGUUACUUUUGGAACACUUUGUGGAGGAAAGUGGGUACUAAGUUACUUUUUAGUACAUCCCAUCAUCCACAAACAGAUGGGCAAACGGAGGUGACUAAUAGAACUUUGGGAACUUUUUAAGGGGGUUGGUUAGCAAAACUCAAAAAGAUUGGGAUAUCAAACUUGCACAUGCUGAAUUCGCCUAUAAUCGUUCUCCUACUUAUGCAACAGGUCAUUCUCCUUUUGAAGUGGUGUAUGGUGUGAAUCCUUACGUGCCUUUGGAUUUGAUUCCAUUGCCAAAGGAUGAAUUGGUCCACAAGGAUGCUAAUGACAAGUUGAAGGCCAUGAUGAAACUACACCAACAAGUUCGUGAGAAGAUUGAAGUCGUGAAUGAGUUGUACAAAUAGAAGUCCAAUAAGCAUAGGAAACCACGUGUCUUUCAAGAUAGUGACUUGGUGUGGGUGCAUAUGAGGAAAGAACGUUUUCCUAACAAAAGGAAAAACAAGUUGAUGCCGAGAGCUGAAGGUCCUUAUAAAGAUAUGUCACGUGUCAAUGAUAAUGCUUAUAAGGUAGAUUUGGGAGGAGACCAUGGAGUGCAUGCUACCUUUAAUGUGGGAGAUCUUUCACCUUAUCUUGAUGAUGAUGGACUUGAUGAAUUGAGGUCAAUUCCUGUCAAAGCGGGAGGGGAUGAUCCAUGCAUGGAUUAUGAAAGCCCAAAAGGUGAUGGAUUAGUGAUUACUAGUGGGCUAGAAGGUGGCUUGGGCUCAAUGGUUGGGUUGUGCAUGGUAACCCACAAAUUGAAUUAAGGUUGCAUGAAGGCCAGGGCAACAUUUUUAAGGAUUCAUAAAGUGCUAAAAACGUUACUUUUUACUUCAUAAAGCCUCCUAACCGUUUUUAGCACUCUUUGGUGGAUUAUGGUUGCACUUUAAUGCUUCUUAUGGCUCUUUAAUGCUUCUUAUGGCUCCUUAAUGAAGCAUAGACGCUUUUUUUCAUUCUCAAGUGUCUUGGACGUUUUUUUAUGUUAUUUCAAGAGUUUCCUUAAUUUUCAUUUACUAGUUUUAAUGAAUAAUUGGUUGGUUGGCUUGGAACCACCAAAUUUGUAAUAAAGGCUUCAUAUAAAGCAAGGUUUAUGCAUGGGAAAGAGAAUGCACGAAUUUUAAUGAAAGAACUCUUUCGUUCACUUUGAAUUAUUGUCAUAGUUCAAAAAUUAUCAUCUUUUGGACGUGAUCCUUGAGUUGAUCGAAUUCAAACUAAUAGGUCUUAGUUUGUCUUCAGAUUUACAAGCUAUAUGUCUACUUUGUUUAUCAAAUCUAUCCUUUUCUUUCCAUAUAUUUGCGGUUGUUAUUCUAGCUUUUAUCUAAACACUAACCCACUCACUAAAUCAAGUCCAUACACGUAUCACUUUGCCUAGAACUCAAAGGGGGAAUGAUUCUAUUAUAGUGGUGGUGGAUAGGUUUUCAAAAAUGGCUCACUUUGUGCCAUGUCAUAAAACCAAUGAUGCAUCUAAUGUGUCGGAUUUGUACUUUAAAGAGGUGGUUUGCUUGUAUAAUAUUCCUAAAACUAAUGUUUCUGAAAAGGAUUCCAUGUUUUCUAGUUAAUUUUGGAACACUUUGUGGAGGAAAGUUGGUACUAAGUUACUUUUUAGUACGUCCCAUCUUGCACAAACUGAUGUGCAAACGAAGGAGACUAAUAGAACAUUGGGUACACUGUUGAGGGGGUUGGUUAGAAAAGCUUAAAAACAAUUGGACAUCAAACUUGCACAUGUUGAGUUUGCCUGUAAUGGUUCUCCUACUUAUGCUAUAGGUCACUCUCCUUUAUAAGUUGUGUAUGGAGUGAAUCCUUACAUGCCUUUGUAUUUGAUUCCAUUUCCAAAAGAUGAAUUGUUUCACAAGGAUGAUAAUGAGAAGUUGAAGUCCAUGAUGAAACUACACCAACACGUUCAUGUGAAGAUUGAAGUCGUGAAUGACGUGUACAAACAGAAUUCCAACAUGCAUAGGAAACCUCGUGUCUUUCAAGAUGGUGACUUGGUUUAGUUGCAUAUGAGGAAAGAAGGUUUUCCUAACAAAAGGAAGAACAAAAGUUGAUGCCAAGAGCUGAAGGUCCUUACGAAGUGGUGUCACAUGUCAACGAUAAUGCUUAUAAGGUGGAUCUGGGAGGAGACUAUGGAGUGUAUGCUACCGUUAAUGUGGGAGACCUUUCACCGUAUCUUGUUGUGGAUGGCCUUGACGAACUGGUGUCAUUUCCUUUCAAAGGGGGAGGGGAUGAUCCAUGCAUGGAUCAUGAAAGCCCAAAAGGUGAUGGAUUAGUGAUUACUAAUAGGCUAGAAGCUGGUUUGGACUCAAUGGUUGGGACAAGCAUGGUAACCUAUGAAUUGAAUUAGGUUCGCAUGAAGGCUAGGACAACAUUUUAAAGGUUUCAUAAGUGCUCAAAACCGUUACUUUUUUCUUUAUCAAGCCUUCUAGCUUUUUUUUGAUACUCUUUGGUGGAUUAGGGUUACAGUUUAAUUCUUCUUGUGGCUCCUUAAUGGAGCAUGGACGCUUUUUUCAUUCAUUAGUGUCUCAGACGUUUUAUUGUGUGGUUUCAUGAGUUUCUUUAAUUUUCAUCAUUAGAUUUACUGAGUAGUUGGUUGUGUGGCUUGUAACAACCAACUUUGUAAUAAAGGUUUCACAUAAGCCAAGUAUGCAUGGAAAAAAGAGAUAGAUGAAAUUUUAAUCAAAAGAACCUUUGUUAACUUUGAAUUAUAGUUGUAGUUCACUACUUGUCAUAGUCGAGACGUGUUCUUGACCUGAUACGCAUUCAAUCACAUAUUAUGUCUUGGAUAGUUUUCACAACCCUACUCAGUUAAUUAAGCCCAUAAAGUCAUCAAAAAGCAAUCACCUUUGUGUCCCUAAACAUGCAAUACGGGAGUUGCUAAUUCGUGAAGCUCAUGGUGGUGGUUUGGCAGGUCAUUUUUCCAUUACCAAAACUUUGGACGUGUUUUAAGAACAUUUUUUCAGGCCUUAAAGAUGUUGGGGAUGUAACCAAAAUAGUGAGCAAGUGUGUUACAUGUCGGAUGACGAAAAAAACUUUCACGCUUGGUGUUUACACUCCUUUGUCGGUUCCUAUUCGUCCUUAGCAAUAUGUGUCAAUGGAAUUCAGUAUUGCUUUGCCUAGAACUCAAAGGGGGAAGGAUUCUAUUAUAGUGGUGGUCAAUAGGUUUUCAAAAAUUGCUCACUUUCUGCCAUGUCAUAAAACCAAUGCUGCAUCUAAUGUGUCUGAUUUGUACUUUAAAGAGGUGGUUUGCUUGUAUAAUAUUCAUAAAACUAUUGUUUCUGUUAGGGAUUCCAUGUUUUCUAGUUAAUUUUGAAACAUUUUGUGGAGGAAAGUUGGUCUAAGUUACUUUUUAGUACGUCCCAUCAUGCAUAAACUGAUGUGAAAACGAAGGAGGCUAAUAGAACUCUGAGGGGGUUGGUUAGAAAAACUCAAAAACAGUUGGACAUCAAACUUGCACAUGCUGAAUUUGCCUGUAAUUGUUCACCUACUUAUGCUAUAGGUCACUCUCCUUUAUAAGUGGUGUAUGGUGUGAAUCCAUACUUGCCUUUGUGUUUGAUUCCAUUUCCAAAGGAAGAAUUGGUUCACAAGGAUGCUAAUGAGAAGUUGAAGGCCAUGAUGAAACUACACCAACUCGUUCGUGUGAAGAUUGAAGUCGUGAAUGACGUGUACAACCAGAAUUCCAACAUGCAUAGGAAACCUCGUGUCUUUCAAGAUGGUGACUUGGUUUAGGUGCAUAUGAGGAAAGAAGGUUUUGCUAACAAAAGGAAGAACAAAAGUUGAUGCCAAGAGCUAAAGGUCAUUACGAAGUGGUGUCACAUGUCAAUGAUUAUGCUUAUAAGGUGGAUUUGGGAGGAGACUAUGGAGUGCAUGCUACCGUUAGUAUGGGAGACCUUUCACCGUAUCUUGUUGAGGAUGGCCUUGAUGAACUGAGGUCAUUUCCUCUAAAAGGGGGAGGGGAUGAUCCAUGCAUGGAUCAUGAAAGCCCAAUAGGUGAUGGAUUAGUGAUUACUAGUAGACUAGAGGGUGGUUUGGACUCAAUGGUUGGGUUGUGCAUGGUAACCUACGAAUUGAAUUAGGGCCGCAUGAAGGCUAGGGAAACAUUUUAAAGCCUUAUAAGUGCUCAAAACCAUUACUUUUUGCUUCAUCAAGUCUUCUAGCCUUUUUUUGAUACUCUUUGGUGGAUUAGGGUUACAGUUUAAUGUUGUUGUGGCUCCUUAAUGGAGCAUGGACGCUUUUUUCAUUCAUUAGUGUCUCAGAUGGUUUUUUUGUGUGGUUUCAUGUGUUUCUUUAAUUUUCUUUAUUAGUUAUACCGAGUAGUUGGUUGGGUGGCUUGUAACCACCAACUUUGUAAUAAAGGCUUCAUAUAAGCCAAGUAUGCAUGGAAAAAACAGAUAGAUGAAAUUUUAAUCAAAAGAACCUUUGUUCACUCAAAUUAUAGUUAUAGUUCACUACUAGUCAUAGUCGAUAUGUGUUCUUGACUUGAUACGGAUUCAAUCAAAUAUUAUGUCUUGGAUAGUUUUCACGGGUAUACAACUUAGUACGUCUUAAUUUGUUACUAAUCUAUCCAUUUCUUCCCAUACACCUAUCAUUUAUGGUGGUUAUUCUAGCUUAAUUUACCAAAAAUAAACCCUACUCAUUUAAUCAAGCCCAUAAAGGCAUCUAAAGGCAAUCACCUUUGUGUCCCUAAACAUGCAAUACGGAAGUUGCUAAUUCUUGAAGCUCAUGGUGAUGGUUUGGCGGGUCAUUUGUCCAUUACUAAACCUUUGGACGUGCUUUACGAAAAAAAUUCAGGCCUAAUGAUAUUCGGGAUGUAACCAGCAUAGUGGGCAAGUGUGUUACAUGGUGUUUACACUCCUUUACCAGUUCCUAUUCGUCCUUGGCAAGAUGUGUCAAUGGAAUUGAAUAUUGCUUUGCUUAGAACUCAAAGGGGGAAGGGUUCCAUUAUAGUGGUGGUGGAUAGGUUUUCAAAAAUGGCUCACUUUGUGCCAUGUCAUAAAACCAAUGAUGCAUCUAAUGUGUCUGAUUUGUAAAUUAAAGAGGUGGUUCGCUUGCAUAAUAUUCCUAAAACUAUUGUUUCUGAUAGGGAUUCCAUGUUUUUGAGUUACUUUUGGAACACUUUGUUGAGGAAAGUUGGUACUAAGUUACUUCUUAGUACGUCCUAUCAUCCACAAACUGAUGUGCAAACGAAGGUGACUAACUGAACUUUGGGUACGCUGUUGAGGGGCUUGGUUAGCAAAACUCCAAAACAAUUGGACAUCAAACUUGCACAUGCUGAGUUUGCCUGUAAUCGUUCUCCUACUUAUGUUACAGGUCACUCUCUUUUAUUAGAGGUGUAUGGUGCGAAUCCUUACAUACCUUUGUAACAGAACUUUGGGUACGUUGUUGAGGGGCUUGGUUAGCAAAACUCCAAAACAAUUGGACAUCAAACUUGCACAUGCUGAGUUUGCCUGUAAUCGUUCUCCUACUUAUGCUACAGGUCACUCUCUUUUAUUAGUGGUGUAUGGUGCGAAUCCUUACAUACCUUUGUAUUUGAUUCCAUUUCCAAAGGAUGAAUUGGUUCACAAGGAUGCUAAUGAGAAGUUGAGGGCCAUGAUGAAACUACACCAAAACGUUUGUAUGAAGAUUGAAGUCGUGAAUGACGUGUACAAACAAAAUUCCAACAUGCAUAGGAAACCACGUGUCUUUCAAGAUGGUGGCUUGGUUUAUGUGCAUAUGAGGAAAGAACGUUUUCAUAAAAAAAAGGAAGAACAAAAUUUGAUGCCAAGAGCUGAAGGUCCUUACAAAGUGGUGCACAUGUCAAUGAUAAUGCUUAUAAGGUGGAUCUGGGAGGAGACUAUGGUGUGUAUGCUACCUUAAUGUGGGAGACCUUUCACCAUAUCUUGUUAAGGACGGCCUUGAUGAAUUGAGGUCAUUUCCUUUCAAAGGGGGAGGGGAUGAUCCAUGCAUGGAUCAUGAAAGCCCAAAAGGUGAUAGAUUAGUGAUUACUAGUAGGCUAGAAGGUGGUUCCGACUCAAUGGUUGGGUUGUGCAUGGUAACCUACGAACUGAAUUAGGGUCGCAUGAAGGCUAGGGCAACAUUUUAAAGGCUUCAUAAGUUCUCAAAACCGUUACUUUUUGCUUCAUCAUCCCUUCUAGUCUUUUUUGAUACUCUUUGGUGGAUUAGGGUUACAGUUUAAUGCUUCUUGUGGCUCGUUAAUGGAGCAUGGACGCUUUUUUCAUUCAUUAGUCUCUCAGACUGUUUUUUAUGUGGUUUCACGAGUUUCUUUAAUUAUCAUUAUUAGUUUUACUGAGUAGUUGGUUGGGUGGCUUGUAACCACCAUCAUUGUAAUAAAGGCUUCAUAUAAGCCAAAUAUGCAUGGAAAAAAGAGAUAGAUGAAAUUUUAAUCAAAAGAACCUUUGUUCACUUUGAAUUAUAGUUAUAGUUCACUACUUGUCAUAGUCGAUAUGUGUUGUUGACUUGAUACGCAUUCAAUCAAAUAUAAUGUCUUGGAUACUUUUCACGGGUAUACAACUUAGUGGGUCUUGAUUUGUUACUAAUCUAUCCAUUUCUUCCCAUACACCUAUCUUUUGUGGUUGUUAUUCUAGCAAAAUUUAACAAAACACAACCUUACUCACUUAAUCAAGCCCAGAAAGGCAUCAAAAGGCAAUCGCCUUUGUGUCCCUGAACAUGCAAUACGGGAGUUGCUGAUCUGUGAAGCCCAUGGUGGUGGUUUGGCGAGUCAUUUUUCCUUACCAAAACUUUGGAGGAUCUUUAAGAACAUUUCUUCGGGCCUAAAGAAGCUGGGGAUGUAACCAACAUACUGGGCAAGUGUGUCACAUGUCGGAUGACGAAAAAACUUUCAAGCAUGGUGUUUACACUCCUUUGCCGGUUCCUAUUCGUCCUUGGCAAGAUGUGUCAAUGGAAUUCAGUAUGGCUUUGCCUAGAACUCAAAGGGGGAAGGAUUCCAUUACAGUGGUGGUGGUGGAUAGGUUUUCAAAAGUGGCUAAAUUUGUGCAAUGCAAUAAAACCAAUGAUGCAUCUAAUGUGUCUGGUUUGUACUUUAAAGAGGUGGUUCGCUUGCAUAUUAUUCCUAAAACUAUUGUUUUUGAUAGGGAUUCCAUGUUUUUGAGUUACUUAUGGAAGACUUUGUGGUGGAAAGUUAGUACUAAGUUACUUUUUAGUAGGUCCCAUCAUCCACAAACUGAUGUGCAAACGAAGGUGACUACUAGAACAUGGGGUACGUUGUUGAGGGGUUUAGUUAACGAAACUCAAAAAUAGUUGGACAUCAAACUUGCACAUGCUAAAUUUGCCUGUAAUCAUUCUCCUACUUAUGCUAUAGGUCACUCUCCUUUACAAGUGGUGUAUGGUGUGAAUCCUUAGAUGCCUUUGUAUUUGAUUUCUUUUCCAAAGGAUGAAUUGGUUCACAAGGAUUCUAAUGAGAAGUUGAAGGCCAUGAUGAAACUACACCAACACGUUCUUUAAAGAUUGAAGCCGUGAAUGACGUGUACAAACAGAUUUCCAACAUGCAUGUCACACCCCAAAACCAAGAACGGCGGAAACCUUUCGGGGUGGAGGAUGUCAUGUAUAGUAUCACAACAGUGUAAAGUAGCAAACAAGUAACAACAUCAUCCAUUGCAUUAAAAGUAAAGUUCUUUCAAAGUAAUAAGACACCAAAAUAUACAAUCAAAAUAAAAGACGAGUCUUGUCUGAGCUACGUCUUCUCAAAACCUGGUCAUCGUACCUGUCUACUGGUGACCUAAGAAUACAAGUUAUUUUGAAAGCGAGUAUCAGCCUAAAGCUGGUGAAUUCAUAAGUAUUUAAGUGUCAUUGUCUUGUUUUGGAAAGCUGUUAUGAAUGACUUGUAAACCUUUAAAUGAAACAGUUGAUGUAAGUAAUGAAAGCCCUAGAAAAUCCCUUAUUUUCUACUUGUAUGAAAUGUAGUCUUCUACCAAGACCCGAAUGUUUUGCUAUGAAAAGGAUAGUUUUCCUUUCUUUUGACUAUUACUAAUAGUACUUAGUCUAACUCAUCGUUUAUGUGAAUGUAUCACAAAAUAAGGUAAUAGGAAAAUGUACUAAUGUAAUUGUUAUCCUUUUGUAUUAGGAUUAACACGACAUCGCGAUUAGCGAAAUGUCUAACCUUUGAACAUCCGUAGAUUGUUCAAUUGUCCUCUGUAGCUGCAGCAGGGGGAGGAAGGGUUAGUCUCGUAAAGGUACUCCUAGUAUAAGUAUUAACUGUAGGCAUCCGUAGAUGUUCAUCAACCUCUAUAGCGAACAGUAGACCCAAGGAAUGGUUAGUCCCGUAAAGGUACUCCUAGUAUAAGUAAUAACCGUAGGCAUCCAUAGAUGUUCAUCAACCACUGUUGCUAACAGGUGGGAUUCAGAAUGGUUUGUCCCGUCUAGAUAUCCCGUUGAACUGGGAUAGGCAGGACAAUUUACACAGAAGGUACUAAUAAAUCAUCCUCAUGAAUCGAGAUACAAGUAUUCAUGUAAGUGUAUACAGGUAAAUGUAUCUACGUAAAGGUACUCAUGUAAUGUAUUCAUGUAAGGUAUUCAUGUAAGCGUACUCAUGUAAGUGUAUUCAUGUAACAUGUAAUGUAUAGUAUAGACUCAUGAAUGAACUGACUCUGAUGUAAUUCCUUGUAAUAGGAAUAAUGUUUUGUAUCUUCUAACUAUCCCUAUAAUAGUUAACUGGAAGGUAAUUGGUUGUUCAAGCAGGUUUAUACACCCUCGCUACACCAAGAGUGUGGGAAACUGAAUGAAGGAUGAAAACUAUAACAUCAAUACAUAUAUAAGAACAUAAGUGUAUAGGUAUAGUUUUGUUCAAGAAGGUAAAACUGGUUUUGUAAAACGUCUAUGAGUUUUGAACAGUAAUUAACAAUGACUUGAUGUCAUUUUAAUAAACAUUUCAAAACUAAUACAUUUGAUAACAAAGUAUUUUUAAGUUAGAAAACCAUUUCAUGCAUCACAUUUUGAAGUAUGUGAAAUAUGUUGGAUGAAAACACAGUUAUAAAAUACAUAUGAGUGAUUUAAUAACAUACUGUUUUCUACUUGUAUUCCCCCCCCCCAUUAAAGCAUUUAAAAUCAUUUAAAACAUUGAUUAAGGGGUAUGAACUCACCUGAAGAUGGUGGUUUGGAUGAACUGAACGGUGAAGGAUUGUUAGGUGUCAAGUGAGGACUUGUACACACACUAUGAUCCUAAUGAACAUAUAAUCACACAUAUAUGCACCCAAUUAGUCUUAAACUACUAAUUGUAAAUGUUAAGACAUCCUAGAACAUGAUAAACACUUUAUAUAAGUGUUAUAAGCCCUAAGGAUUGCAUC
This 13476-nucleotide long non-coding RNA is filed under the name Lactuca sativa (garden lettuce). RNAcentral's name for it is "long non-coding RNA (LSAT_LNC010279)". The record is from RNAcentral. Lineage: Eukaryota; Viridiplantae; Streptophyta; Magnoliopsida; Asterales; Asteraceae.